Molecule: long non-coding RNA, 560 nt
Organism: Amphimedon queenslandica
Lineage: Eukaryota; Metazoa; Porifera; Demospongiae; Haplosclerida; Niphatidae
Exons: 6
Source: RefSeq, a predicted model, not a curated record
UUAUUGAUCUAAUUUUACAUUUUUGUGUUCCAUUUGUAGGUACCGUCAAGGAUCUCAAGUCCAUUUUAGAGGGCGGAGUUGACGCCUUGUCAAAUUUACAUGAAUGAACAUUAAAGGUUUAGAAGAGGUCAUCGUGGGGGGCGGAGUCAUGCGUCCCAUCUAAUAUGGCGUUUUGGCCUUUUGUCACUUCAUUUAACCGUUUUUAAGAGUACCGUCAAGGAUCUCAAGUCCAUUUUAGAGGGCGGAGUUGACGCCUUGUCUUCACAUUUACAUGAAUGAACAUUAAAGGUUGAGAAGAGGUCAUCGUUGGGGGGUGGAGUCAUGCAUCCCAUCUAAUAUGGCGUUUUGGCCUUUUGUCACUUCAUUUAACCGUUUUUAAGAGUAUCGUCAAGGAUCUCAAGUCCAUUUUAGAGGGCGGAGUUGACGCCUUGUCUUCAAAUUUACAUGAAUGAACAUUAAAGGUUUAGAAGAGGUCAUCGUGGGGGGCGGAGUCAUGCAUCCCAUCUAAUAUGGCGUUUUGGCCUUUUGUCACUUCAUUUAACCAUUUUAAAGAGUAUAGU